Molecule: non-coding RNA, 20 nt
Filed under: Arabidopsis thaliana (thale cress)
Lineage: Eukaryota; Viridiplantae; Streptophyta; Magnoliopsida; Brassicales; Brassicaceae
Source: RNAcentral
UUAAGGUUUCAUGCGGCUUA